AACGAACGCUGGCGGCAGGCCUAACACAUGCAAGUCGAGCGCACCCUUCGGGGUGAGCGGCGGACGGGUGAGUAACGCGUGGGAACGUGCCCUUCUCUGCGGAAUAGCCUCGGGAAACUGAGAGUAAUACCGCAUACGCCCUUUGGGGGAAAGAUUUAUCGGAGAAGGAUCGGCCCGCGUUGGAUUAGGUAGUUGGUGGGGUAAUGGCCCACCAAGCCGACGAUCCAUAGCUGGUUUGAGAGGAUGAUCAGCGACACUGGGACUGAGACACGGCCCAGACUCCUACGGGAGGCAGCAGUGGGGAAUCUUAGACAAUGGGGGCAACCCUAAUCUAGCCAUGCCGCGUGAGUGAUGAAGGCCUUAGGGUUGUAAAGCUCUUUCAGCUGGGAAGAUAAUGACGGUACCAGCAGAAGAAGCCCCGGCUAACUCCGUG
RNAcentral lists this ribosomal RNA (433 nucleotides) under uncultured bacterium. RNAcentral's name for it is "partial 16S ribosomal RNA". It matches the Rfam family "Bacterial small subunit ribosomal RNA", at positions 29 to 507 of the family's 1533-position model. The record is from RNAcentral.